AAAGUCUGACGGAGCAACGCCGCGUGAACGAAGAAGGUCUUCGGAUUGUAAAGUUCUGUGAUUCGGGACGAAAGGGUUUGUGGUGAAUAAUCAUAGACAUUGACGGUACCGAAAAAGCAAGCCACGGGCUAACUACGUGCCAGCAGCCGCGGUAAUACGUAGGUGGCAAGCCGUUGUCCGGAAUUAUUGGGCGUAAAGCGCGCGCAGGCGGUUUCUUAAGUCCAUCUUAAAAGCGUGGGGCUCAACCCCAUGAGGGGAUGGAAACUGGGAAGCUGGAGUAUCGGAGAGGAAAGUGGAAUUCCUAGUGUAGCGGUGAAAUGCGUAGAGAUUAGGAAGAACACCGGUGGCGAAGGCGACUUUCUAGACGAAAACUGACGCUGAGGCGCGAAAGCGUGGGGAGCAAACAGGAUUAGAUACCCUGGUAGUCCACGCCGUAAACGAUGGAUACUAGGUGUAGGAGGUAUCGACCCCUCCUGUGCCGGAGUUAACGCAAUAAGUAUCCGCCUGGGAGUACGAUCGCAAGAUUAAACUCAAAGGAAUUGACGGGGCCCGCACAAGC
Molecule: ribosomal RNA, 559 nt
Filed under: Dialister pneumosintes
Lineage: Bacteria; Bacillati; Bacillota; Negativicutes; Veillonellales; Veillonellaceae
Description: bacterial SSU rRNA
Rfam family: Bacterial small subunit ribosomal RNA
Source: RNAcentral